AAGUCGCACGAGAACACUCUAGCUUGCUAGGGUAAGUAAAGUGGCGCACGGGUGAGUAUCGCGUGGAUAAUCUACCUUCGAAUUGGGGAUAACGUUGCGAAAGCGACGCUAAUACCGAAUAACAUCCAUUAAUUUUCGGUUUUUUGGAUCAAGGGUGGCCUCUGCUUGUAAGCUACUGUUUGAAGAUGAGUCCGCGUACCAUUAGCUUGUUGGUGGGGUAAUGGCCUACCAAGGCAACGAUGGUUAGCUGGUCUGAGAGGAUGAUCAGCCACACUGGAACUGACACACGGUCCAGACUCCUACGGGAGGCAGCAGUGAGGAAUUUUGCGCAAUGGGCGAAAGCCUGACGCAGCAACGCCGCGUGAGUGAUGAAGGCUUUCGGGUCGUAAAGCUCUGUCAAGUGGGAAGAACCUGCAGUAUGUUAAUAUCAUAUUGCACUGACGGUACCACUGAAGGAAGCACCGGCUAACUCCGUGCCAGCAGCCGCGGUAAUACGGGGGGUGCAAGCGUUAUUCGGAAUCAUUGGGCGUAAAGGGCACGUAGGCGGCCUGGUAAGUCAGAUGUGAAAGCCCGGGGCUUAACCCCGGAAGUGCAUUUGAUACUGCUCGGCUUGAGUAUGGGAGAGGGAAGUGGAAUUCCUGGUGUAGAGGUGAAAUUCGUAGAUAUCAGGAGGAACACCGGUGGCGAAGGCGACUUCCUGGACCAAUACUGACGCUGAGGUGCGAAGGCGUGGGUAGCAAACAGGAUUAGAUACCCUGGUAGUCCACGCAGUAAACGUUGUUCACUAGGUGUAGCGGGUAUUGACCCCUGCUGUGCCGCAGUUAACGCAUUA
RNAcentral lists this ribosomal RNA (832 nucleotides) under uncultured bacterium. RNAcentral describes it as "bacterial SSU rRNA". It matches the Rfam family "Bacterial small subunit ribosomal RNA", at positions 59 to 862 of the family's 1533-position model. The record is from RNAcentral.